AAAUAUGCUGCAAAUCAUAAUUUUAAAUACCAUUUAAGUAUUUAGUUUAAAGAUUUAACUACAGAUUAUAAUUUGUGAAGACUAACAUUAAUUGUAAAUCAUCAAAUAUUCAAUACAUUUUUCAUGAAUGGACGGACUACGGAUGACUCAAUGUUUAUUUUUGCGUUUUUGAAUAGAUAGUUCAUUCUACAAUGUGGAUCCAGAUGUUAUCCAAGGAAUGGGGUUGACGGAAUUUAAAAAAAUAUAAAACGUAACAAUAAUGUUUUUCAUGAAAAAUUGUUUAUUAAUCUUGGUGGCAUUUUUUCUAUCCAAUCAACAUUUGAUUUCCAUUGCAGAAAAAUGGUCGAAUGAAUACAUGAAAAUCGAAGCUGUUUAAAUGUCUAAAAAUGUGUGAUUGAAUAAACCUCGAUAUAAACACAUAAUUAUUAUGUGACUUAUGUGCCUUUUAUUAAUUUAAAACCAAUACAAGUAAUAAAUAUUACGAUAGAACUAUAUGUCAGAAAUUAAAAAACAAUAAUAUAAGUCUAUUAUUAU
Molecule: long non-coding RNA, 534 nt
Organism: Rhopalosiphum padi (bird cherry-oat aphid)
Lineage: Eukaryota; Metazoa; Arthropoda; Insecta; Hemiptera; Aphididae
Exons: 2
Source: RefSeq, a predicted model, not a curated record